Molecule: ribosomal RNA, 374 nt
Filed under: uncultured eukaryote
Lineage: Eukaryota
Description: partial 18S ribosomal RNA
Rfam family: Eukaryotic small subunit ribosomal RNA
Source: RNAcentral
CAAUAGCGUAUAUUUAAGUUGUUGCAGUUAAAAAGCUCGUAGUUGGACUUCGGUUAAGAGCGACCGGUCCGCCGUUUGGUGUGCACUGGUUGGUUUUAACUUCCUGUAGAGGACGUGCUCUGGGUUUAACGACCUGGACUCGGAGUCUACGUGGUUACUUUGAAAAAAUUAGAGUGUUCAAAGCGGGCUUACGCUUGAAUAUUUCAGCAUGGAAUAACACUAUAGGACUCCUGUCCUAUUUCGUUGGUCUCGGGACGGGAGUAAUGAUUAAGAGGAACAGUUGGGGGCAUUCGUAUUUCAUUGUCAGAGGUGAAAUUCUUGGAUUUAUGAAAGACGAACUUCUGCGAAAGCAUUUGCCAAGGAUGUUUUCAUUA